GACGUAGGGCGCAAGCGUUGUCCGGAUUUAUUGGGCGUAAAGAGCUCGUAGGUGGUUUGUCGCGUUGUUCGUGAAAACUCACAACUCAAUUGUGGGCGUGCGGGCGAUACGGGCAGACUGGAGUACUGCAGGGGAGACUGGAAUUCCUGGUGUAGCGGUGGAAUGCGCAGAUAUCAGGAGGAACACCGGUGGCGAAGGCGGGUCUCUGGGCAGUAACUGACGCUGAGGAGCGAAAGCGUGGGGAGCGAACAGG
RNAcentral lists this ribosomal RNA (253 nucleotides) under uncultured bacterium. Its description in RNAcentral is "partial 16S ribosomal RNA". It matches the Rfam family "Bacterial small subunit ribosomal RNA", at positions 524 to 776 of the family's 1533-position model. The record is from RNAcentral.